GGGGCUGGCGGCGUGCUUACACAUGCAAGUCGAACGAUGAAGCCUAGCUUGCUGGGUGGAUUAGUGGCGAACGGGUGAGUAACACGUGAGCAACCUGCCCCUGACUCUGGGAUAAGCGCUGGAAACGGCGUCUAAUACUGGAUAUGUCCCAUCACCGCAUGGUGUGUGGGUGGAAAGAUUUUUCGGUUGGGGAUGGGCUCGCGGCCUAUCAGCUUGUUGGUGAGGUAAUGGCUCACCAAGGCGUCGACGGGUAGCCGGCCUGAGAGGGUGACCGGCCACACUGGGACUGAGACACGGCCCAGACUCCUACGGGAGGCAGCAGUGGGGAAUAUUGCACAAUGGGCGGAAGCCUGAUGCAGCAACGCCGCGUGAGGGAUGACGGCCUUCGGGUUGUAAACCUCUUUUAGCAGGGAAGAAGCGAGAGUGACGGUACCUGCAGAAAAAGCACCGGCUAACUACGUGCCAGCAGCCGCGGUAAU
RNAcentral lists this ribosomal RNA (479 nucleotides) under Microbacterium esteraromaticum. Its description in RNAcentral is "bacterial SSU rRNA". It matches the Rfam family "Bacterial small subunit ribosomal RNA", at positions 35 to 524 of the family's 1533-position model. The record is from RNAcentral. Lineage: Bacteria; Bacillati; Actinomycetota; Actinomycetes; Micrococcales; Microbacteriaceae.